RNAcentral lists this ribosomal RNA (375 nucleotides) under uncultured bacterium. RNAcentral's name for it is "bacterial SSU rRNA". It matches the Rfam family "Bacterial small subunit ribosomal RNA", at positions 28 to 404 of the family's 1533-position model. The record is from RNAcentral.
GACGAACGCUGGCGGCGUGCUUAACACAUGCAAGUCGAGCGGUAAGGCCCUUUCGGGGGUACACGAGCGGCGAACGGGUGAGUAACACGUGGGUGACCUGCCCUCAGCUCUGGGAUAAGCCUGGGAAACCGGGUCUAAUACUGGAUAUGACUCCAUGACGCAUGUUGUGGGGUGGAAAGCCUUGUGCGGCUGAGGAUGGGCCCGCGGCCUAUCAGCUUGUUGGUGGGGUGANGGCCUACCAAGGCGACGACGGUAGCCGGCCUGAGAGGGCGACCGGCCACACUGGGACUGAGACACGGCCCAGACUCCUACGGGAGGCAGCAGUGGGGGAAUCUUGCGCAAUGGGCGAAAGCCUGACGCAGCGACGCCGCGUGA